CCCCAGAGAGAAAUGGGCAGCUCGGUGGCACUUGGCCCUGGUGGUCUCCUGCCCCGUGGCGGCAAGCUGGCAAGCGGAAGGAGGCAAUCGCCCGGUGCUGGGAUGCUGUGGAGCAAGGAGAAGGCAAGGAGAAAGUUUACUUGCUGGUGGGAUCACCACUUGAAGGCGGCUAAUAUUCAGCUCUGAAGCUGGUUGAUGUCUGGCAAUGGACCUGGCGAGGCUGCAGCUGGUGGAUGGUUGUCGGAAGAGUUUGCAUUCAGGCUAGUGAAGGCCGCGAGGCUACGCUGGCCGAGAUGGAUGCAAGCUGGUUUGGAAGCCUUGUUUGUGAACAGGCAGCCAAACAGAGGAAGAGUCUGGGGGGACGCUGUCGGAUGGGGGCCAUCCCACUCACCUCUUUGCCUUUGCCUUACAGGGAUGUCUGGAGGCCGGUGAGGUUUUCCCUGAAUCCAGCCUUCUAAGUCGUGAAGAGAACCGCAGGACGUCCCUAUUUUCAUUGGAGAAAUGAACGUGAAAUACUGGCAGUGAGCAAUGGACAAAGCCGUGACCAGACCUGAGAGAAGGAGCUUUGAAGGGAGACCGCAGGCGAACAUCUGCUGCAUUGCAAGUGAUGGGGCAGUGGGGAGAGAGAAGAUGAGGGAGGAAACAUUAGGCCACAUUAGGCGCACCGUCCAUUGGAAGUGCUAUGAAGAUGCUUUGAACAGGAAUGGCUUCCCCUCAGGGUCUCUGGGAACUGUAGGUGGUUAAGGGGACGGGGAGUUGUUACGAGGGUUAGG
Molecule: non-coding RNA, 773 nt
Organism: Podarcis lilfordi (Lilford's wall lizard)
Lineage: Eukaryota; Metazoa; Chordata; Lepidosauria; Squamata; Lacertidae
Source: the annotation of a GenBank genome assembly